Molecule: ribosomal RNA, 359 nt
Filed under: uncultured bacterium
Lineage: Bacteria
Description: bacterial SSU rRNA
Rfam family: Bacterial small subunit ribosomal RNA
Source: RNAcentral
AACGAACGCUGGCGGCAGGCUUAACACAUGCAAGUCGAACGCACCGCAAGGUGAGUGGCAGACGGGUGAGUAACGCGUGGGAAUCUACCCAGAACUUCGGAACAACUGAGGGAAACUUCAGCUAAUACCGGAUACGCCCUACGGGGAAAGGAUUAUCGGUUCUGGAUGAGCCCGCGUUGGAUUAGCUAGUUGGUGAGGUAAUGGCUCACCAAGGCGACGAUCCAUAGCUGGUCUGAGAGGAUGAUCAGCCACACUGGGACUGAGACACGGCCCAGACUCCUACGGGAGGCAGCAGUGGGGAAGUAUUGGACAAUAGGGCGAAAGCCUGAUCCAGCCAUGCCGCGUGAGUGAUGAAGGCC